This is a long non-coding RNA of Neopsephotus bourkii (Bourke's parrot), 630 nucleotides long. RefSeq lists it as uncharacterized. NCBI's taxonomy places the organism in Eukaryota, Metazoa, Chordata, Aves, Psittaciformes, Psittacidae. The transcript has 3 exons. The record is from RefSeq and is a predicted model, not a curated record.
CUGACACUCUUUUGGACAGAAGAAAGGUUGUGGAUGUUACAGAAGCGACAUCCAUUCCUGCUUGCUAAAAAUCACCUGCCACCUUGACUGGAUAUAUCUGUCUCUGUUUCCUGUCCUCACUCCAGAUCUUUGCUACUGGGGCCUUGCUUUUCUUCCACGGAAGGAGAUGGGAGAUUUGCCACAACUGCAGUGACAGCAGUAGGAGAGCAGACACAGAUUAGGCAGGGUGUUGGAGGAUUUUCUGCAUGCUCUGAAGCAUGUCAUAAAUUGCAAUAAAUUCAUCUGUUUAUGGAUUCUGAACCUGACCAACUUCCAUGAGCACAAGGUAAACUGAAACAAAUGUUCCACUGUGUGGCUCAGUACAGCAGUCAGAGGAGGAAGAACAUCCAUACUUGACCUCUGUGAUGGCAAGAUACACUUCAGAAUGUGGAAGAAAAAAACCCCAAAACAGUAAGAGAGACUGGAGCUCUAAGCCUCAUACUGUAAACAUCACCCAGAUGAUGCUGUGGCCAGGAAUCAAUUUGAAGUCACCUCCAUUAACAGUAAUCACUGUUGUUCAAACUGCAGCAGAUCCACACCUUGUACUUCAGGGCCUAAAACUACUUUUAUUAAAAAAAAAAUAAAAAAUAA